RNAcentral lists this ribosomal RNA (290 nucleotides) under uncultured bacterium. Its description in RNAcentral is "partial 16S ribosomal RNA". It matches the Rfam family "Bacterial small subunit ribosomal RNA", at positions 29 to 289 of the family's 1533-position model. The record is from RNAcentral.
AUGAACGCUGGCGGCGUGGAUAAGGCAUGCAAGUCGGACGAUUUCCUUUUUUUGAAGAAGAUGCGAUUACAUCAAGUCAACUGAUAUUUUGGAGAUAGUGGCGAACGAGCUAGUAACACCUUGGUACGUACCCAAAAGUUUGGUAUAGCUCGCCGAAAGGCGGGGUAAUCCCAAAUAAUCCCUCUAUCUAUCGGAUAGAAGGGUAAAGUCGCAAGACGCUUUUGGAGCGGCCUAGGACCGAUCAGUUAGUUGGUGAGGUAAUGGCUCACCAAGACGAUAACCGGUAGGGG